UUUUUAUUUAGCUCAUUAAGAACUAUUUUAGAAUUGGAACAAUACAGAGAAGAUUAGCAUGGCCAUUGCAUGACAUGCAAAUUCAUGAAGCAUUUCAUAUUAUU
This is a small nuclear RNA of Suncus etruscus (white-toothed pygmy shrew), 104 nucleotides long. The record is from RefSeq and is a predicted model, not a curated record. NCBI's taxonomy places the organism in Eukaryota, Metazoa, Chordata, Mammalia, Eulipotyphla, Soricidae.